This 91-nucleotide transfer RNA is filed under the name Persephonella sp. Its description in RNAcentral is "tRNA-Ser". It matches the Rfam family "tRNA". Rfam says of the family: Transfer RNA (tRNA) molecules are approximately 80 nucleotides in length. Their secondary structure includes four short double-helical elements and three loops (D, anti-codon, and T loops). Lineage: Bacteria; Pseudomonadati; Aquificota; Aquificia; Aquificales; Hydrogenothermaceae. The record is from RNAcentral.
GGAUGGGUGCCCGAGCGGCCGAAGGGGCAGCACUGGAAAUGCUGUGUACCGUUUAUCGGUACCGUGGGUUCAAAUCCCACCCCAUCCGCCA